AYGGYGGAGACCUAGGCACCCAGAGACGAUGAAGGGCGCAGAUACCGGCGAUACGCUCCGGGGAGCUGGCAACAAGCUUUGAUCCGGAGAUCCCCGAAUAGGGCAACCACUUGAACUACCUAUAUAAUUCAUAGUUAGGUAAGAGGCAACCCGGUGAAUUGAAACAUCUUAGUAGCCGGAGGAAAAGAAAGCAAAAGCGAUUCCCGGAGUAGCGGCGAGCGAAACGGGAACAGCCUAAACCGAUCCAUUAGGUUCGGUGUAGAGGGAGGACAUUAUGGAAUAACGUGUUCAAAAAAUACGUAUUCCAAAGAAAGCAUAACAAUGGAAUAUAUCCAAAAAAAUUGUGGAUAUAUUCAAUUUUUCAAUAGACGAAGCAGCUGAAUCCUGCACCAUAGAUGGUGAAAGUCCAGUAGUCAAAAAAAAAAUAUGCAAUUGUCUUAUCCCGAGUAGCAUGGGGCACGUGAAAUCCCGUGUGAAUCUGCGAGGACCACCUCGUAAGGCUAAAUACUCCUGGGUGACCGAUAGCGAAAUAGUACCGCGAGGGAAUGGUUAAAUAGAACCCCCGUAGGAGUGAAAUAGAACAUGAAACCGUUCGCUGACAAGCAGUGGGAGGGGGUUUGACCCUGACCGCGUGCCUGUUGAAGAAUGAGCCGGCGACUUAUAAGAAGUGGCCAGGUUAAGGAAUAAUAUCCGGAGCCUAAGCGAAAGCAAGUCUGAAUAGGGCGUAUGAGUCACUUCUUAUGGACCCGAACCCGGGUGAUCUAAUCCUGACCAGGAUGAAGUUUGGGUAACACCAAAUGGAAGACCGAACCGACCGAUGUUGAAAAAUCGACGGAUGAGUUUGGAUUAGGGGAGAAAUUCCAAUCGAACUCGGAGCUAGCUGGAUCUCCCCGAAAUGCGUUGAGGCGCAGCGGCGACGAUGAGCUAUCUAGGGGUAAAGCACUGUUUCGAUACGGGCUGCGAAAGCGGUACCAAGUCGUGGCAAACUCAGAAUACUAGAUAAUGCAUUCCGUCAGCCAGUGAGACUGCGGGGGAUAAGCUCCGUUGUCAAGAGGGAAACAGCCCAGAUCACCAGCUAAGGCCCCUAAAUGGUCACUAAGUGGAUAAGGAUGUGAGAAUGCUUAAACAACCAGGAGGUUCGCUUAGAAGCAGCUAUCUUCCUUGAAAGAGUGCGUAAUAGCUCACUGGUAAAGCGUUCUUGCGCCGAGAAUGGCCGGGACUAAGUGACCUGCCGAAGCUGUGAGAUUUCCUCUAUUUAUAAUAGAAAGGGAUUCGGUAGGGGAGCGUUCCGCUCUCGGGUGAAGCUUUCACGGAAGUGGGGGUGGACGAAGCGGAAGUGAGAAUGUCGGCUUGAGUAACGAAAACAUUGGUGAGAAUCCAAUGCCCCGAAAACCUAAGGGUUCCUCCACUAGGCUCGUCCAUGGGGGGUUAGUCAGGACCUAAGACUAGGCCGAAAGGCGUCGUCGAUGGAAAACAGGUUAAUAUUCCUGUACUGAUUUUAUUGGGAACCGAGGGACGAAGGAGGCUAAACUGGGACUGCUUCUGGAUUUCAGUGGAAGCGUCCGAGACGUUGAAGGGUAGAAUAAAAACUAUCAAUAAGUUGAGGCGUGAUCCCGCAUUUCCUUUUUAAAGGAUGUGCGCCAGCGAUGUCAUACUUCCAAGAAAAGCUCGAACACCAUUAACAAUAAAAUCACCUGUACCUGAAACCGACACAGGUAGGUUAGUAGAGAAUACUAAGGGGCGCGAGAGAACUCUCUCUAAGGAACUCGGCAAACUAGCCCCGUAACUUCGGGAGAAGGGGCGCCCUCUCUCUUAAAAAGAGAGGGUUGCAGUGACCAGGCCCAGGCGACUGUUUACCAAAAACACAGGUCUCCGCAAAGUCGUAAGACAAUAUAUGGUGGCUGACGCCUGCCCAGUGCCGGAAGGUUAAGGAAGUUGGUUAUUGCGUAAGCAAGAAGCUGACGACCGAAGCCCCGGUGAACGGCGGCCGUAACUAUGACGGUCGUGAGACAGUUCGGUCCAUAUCCG
Molecule: ribosomal RNA, 2028 nt
Filed under: Carteria lunzensis
Lineage: Eukaryota; Viridiplantae; Chlorophyta; Chlorophyceae; Chlamydomonadales; Chlamydomonadaceae
Description: partial large subunit ribosomal RNA
Rfam family: Bacterial large subunit ribosomal RNA
Source: RNAcentral